Molecule: ribosomal RNA, 225 nt
Filed under: Triticum aestivum (bread wheat)
Lineage: Eukaryota; Viridiplantae; Streptophyta; Magnoliopsida; Poales; Poaceae
Description: partial small subunit ribosomal RNA
Source: RNAcentral
AUGGAUAAUAACAACAAAGUUUGGAUGUCGAAGAUUCCACUAAAAGUUAAAAUCUUCAUGUGGUAUCUUUGUAGAGGAGUUGUGCUAAGCAAAGACAAUCUCUCCCGUCGCAAUUUACAAGGAAACAAGAAGUGUAGUUUUUGUACUAAUGACGAGACAAUCAAACACCUUUUUUUAUUACAAGUUUGCACGUUCUACGUGAUCAGUCAUCCAAAUAGCCUCUAA